This 454-nucleotide ribosomal RNA is filed under the name uncultured Anoxybacillus sp. RNAcentral's name for it is "bacterial SSU rRNA". It matches the Rfam family "Bacterial small subunit ribosomal RNA", at positions 929 to 1382 of the family's 1533-position model. The record is from RNAcentral. Lineage: Bacteria; Bacillati; Bacillota; Bacilli; Caryophanales; Anoxybacillaceae.
GCGGUGGAGCAUGUGGUUUAAUUCGAAGCAACGCGAAGAACCUUACCAGGUCUUGACAUCCCCUGACAACCCGAGAGAUCGGGCGUUCCCCUUCGGGGGACAGGGUGACAGGUGGUGCAUGGUUGUCGUCAGCUCGUGUCGUGAGAUGUUGGGUUAAGUCCCGCAACGAGCGCAACCCUCGACCUUAGUUGCCAGCAUUCAGUUGGGCACUCUAAGGUGACUGCCGGCUAAAAGUCGGAGGAAAGUGGGGAUGACGUCAAAUCAUCAUGCCCCUUAUGACCUGGGCUACACACGUGCUACAAUGGGCGGUACAAAGGGUCGCGAACCCGCGAGGGGGAGCCAAUCCCAAAAAGCCGCUCUCAGUUCGGAUUGCAGGCUGCAACUCGCCUGCAUGAAGCCGGAAUCGCUAGUAAUCGCGGAUCAGCAUGCCGCGGUGAAUACGUUCCCGGGCCUU